UACGAGUGGUGCAAACGUUAUUCGGAAUCACUGGGCUUAAAGGGUGCGUAGGCGGCUGCAAAAGUCAGGUGUGAAAUCCCUCGGCUCAACCGAGGAACUGCGCUUGAAACUUUGCAGCUUGAGGGAGACAGAGGUGAGCGGAACUGAUGGUGGAGCGGUGAAAUGCGUUGAUAUCAUCAGGAACACCGGUGGCGAAAGCGGCUCGCUGGGUCUUUUCUGACGCUGAGGCACGAAAGCUAGGGGAGCAAACGGG
RNAcentral lists this ribosomal RNA (253 nucleotides) under uncultured bacterium. RNAcentral describes it as "partial 16S ribosomal RNA". It matches the Rfam family "Bacterial small subunit ribosomal RNA", at positions 524 to 776 of the family's 1533-position model. The record is from RNAcentral.